Molecule: ribosomal RNA, 373 nt
Filed under: uncultured bacterium
Lineage: Bacteria
Description: bacterial SSU rRNA
Rfam family: Bacterial small subunit ribosomal RNA
Source: RNAcentral
AUACGGGGGGUGCAAGCGUUAUCCGGAAUUACUAGGUUUAAAGGGUCUGUAGGCGGUAAAAUAAGUCAGAGGUAAAAGACAGUAGCUUAACUAUUGGGCAGCCUUUGAUACUAUUAUACUAGAGAUUAAGUGACGUUAGCGGAAUGUAUCAAGUAGCGGUGGAAUGCUUAGAUAUGAUACAGAACGCCGAUUGUGAAGACAGCUAACGAACGUACAUCUGACGCUCAUAGACGAAGGCGUGGGUAUCGAACAGGAUUAGAUACCCUGGUAGUCCACGCAGUAAACGAUGGAUACUAGCUUUUGGUAUUUACAUAUCAGAGGCGUAGCGAAAGCGUUAAGUAUCCCACCUGGGGAGUACGGUCGCAAGAUUGAA